RNAcentral lists this ribosomal RNA (450 nucleotides) under uncultured Glomeromycotina. RNAcentral's name for it is "SSU rRNA". It matches the Rfam family "Eukaryotic small subunit ribosomal RNA", at positions 569 to 1026 of the family's 1831-position model. The record is from RNAcentral. Lineage: Eukaryota; Fungi; Glomeromycota.
AGCAGCCGCGGUAAUUCCAGCUCCAAUAGCGUAUAUUAAAGUUGUUGCAGUUAAAAAGCUCGUAGUUGAAUUUCGGGAUCAAGUCGUCGGUCGUGCUUAGGUACGUACUGGCGUCAUUGAUUUCUCCCUUCUGACGAACCAUGAUGUCAUUAAUUUGGUGUUAUGGGAAAUCAGGACUGUUACUUUGAAAAAUUAGAGUGUUUAAAGCAGGCUCACGCUUGAAUACAUUAGCAUGGAAUAAUGAAAUAGGACGUUCGAUCCUAUUUUGUUGGUUUUAGGAUCAACGUAAUGGUUAAUAGGGAUAGUUGGGGGCAUUAGUAUUCAAUUGUCAGAGGUGAAAUUCUUGGAUUUAUUGAAGACUAACUACUGCGAAAGCAUUUGCCAAGGAUGUUUUCAUUAAUCAAGAGCGAAAGUUAGGGGAUCGAAGACGAUCAGAUACCGUCGUAGUCU